This 24-nucleotide non-coding RNA is filed under the name Arabidopsis thaliana (thale cress). The record is from RNAcentral. Lineage: Eukaryota; Viridiplantae; Streptophyta; Magnoliopsida; Brassicales; Brassicaceae.
CGUCAAAAUAGUUGGAGUCGAUGC